Molecule: long non-coding RNA, 1469 nt
Organism: Urocitellus parryii (Arctic ground squirrel)
Lineage: Eukaryota; Metazoa; Chordata; Mammalia; Rodentia; Sciuridae
Source: RefSeq, a predicted model, not a curated record
UCCACCUCUUAAAGGCUCACCAUCCCCAGUAACUCUAUGGGCUGGGAACCACAACUAUAACACACAAGCCUUUGGGGGACAGUCAAGAUCCAAACUACUGCAAGGAGCAUCAUCUUCACUGAAAAUGUUCUAUUUUCCUGUGAUUACAGGAGACAAUUUCUCCCAACAAGGGGAAGUCGGUGGCAAGGAAAUGAUCCUAAAAUGUGUGCAUCAUGGAGGGGAGGGUAGACAGGAAGAGUGAAAUCUUGGUGCUUAUACUGACUGUGCGGUGGCAAGCAAGGAGCCGUCAAACCAUGAAAAUACAUGGAGGAAACAAAUGCAGAUUAUAAGUGAAAAAAGCCACUCUGUGUGAUUCCAACGAACUGGCAUCUGGAAAAGGCACAACUAUGGAGACAGAAGAUCAGUGGUUGCCAAGGGUUAAGGGCGGGGAGGAGACUAGAUGGAGCUCAGAGGAUUUUUAAAGCAGUGAAACUACUCUUCAGACACUGGGACUGAUUUUCCAUCUGGCCUAACCAGAGCCUGAGGUGACUGAAUCCAGUGGAGCCAAUAGGUUCGACUUGAGCUUGCUUUAAAGCAUGCUUAGAACAGGRAAAGACAAAUUGGCUCCUUUCUGAAAGGCCUAUGGAGCAGAAGCCUGCUUCUCCCUCCCCAGACCACAGCCUUGAAAGAGAAAACAUCCUGUUCUUCCAACUCCUGGGAAGCCAUUGCAGUGGAGCAAGAGGCUCGGUGGCCGUCUCCCACUCAAGAAGCUCACUGAUUGGCAGCCUUAAGGGCCGGGACCUUGUCAGGCCGAGCUGAUUCCCAUCCCAGGUCCUGGGGUGCCAGGCAGGGUUAGAUAAGGCUGGGCUUAUCCACUCAGCUCCAACAGCCCCGGAGAAAACAAAAGAGCAGCACAAAGUUUCCACACUUGGGAAGAAGUCAAGGUUAGCAAAGCACUAGACCCAGGUAUCUGGCCUCUAGAGGUGACAAAGGGACCUUACAACUGAAAGUAACAAGACCAGGUGGGGUCAGGGACACUCUUGGAGUGCUGGUAACCAGAGGCAGGAUAGGCUCAGGAGAGGCAGCCCUUGCCCGCAUGCCCUGUAGACUAUCCCACACAGCUGCCACCUAGAGGAGAAGGGAGACAAGAGAGCAAAACCAGAAUUAGCUGAAUUUUAAGAUGAAAAGACUGAGAAAACACAGAGGAUUUCUAGAAAGAAUCAGGGUCGCAUGGUAGUAAGUGGAUUAUGCAGCAUUAGGAAAAAAUAAUGUUAUAUAUUUCUUGCACACACUAGUUUGUGGCUUAGGAAAAUUCAAACAUGCUUAUAAACSUGCCAAUGCCUUGCCCUGUCUGCCAUACCAUGCAGAGAGAAGGGGCUGUUUGGGGUGAGUGUGUCUCUCAGAAAUUUAAGAGACAGCUAGAAUCGCAAGGCAGAAAGUGAUCGUACCUGAAAGUCUUCUAGAACACAGUUCAGAAAAUAUUAUUUUUU